GACGAACGCUGGCGGCGUGCUUAACACAUGCAAGUCGAACGAUGACGACCGAGCUUGCUCGGUCUGAUUAGUGGCGAACGGGUGAGUAACACGUGAGCAACCUGCCCUUCACUCUGGGAUAACCUCGGGAAAUCGGGGCUAAUACCGGAUAUGAGCUCCUGUCGCAUGGCGGGUGUUGGAAAGUUUUUCGGUGAAGGAUGGGCUCGCGGCCUAUCAGUUUGUUGGUGAGGUAGUGGCUCACCAAGGCGAUGACGGGUAGCCGGCCUGAGAGGGCGACCGGCCACACUGGGACUGAGACACGGCCCAGACUCCUGCGGGAGGCAGCAGUGGGGAAUAUUGCACAAUGGGCGAAAGCCUGAUGCAGCGACGCCGCGUGAGGGAUGACGGCCUUCGGGUUGUAAACCUCUUUCAGCAGGGAAGAAGCGAAAGUGACGGUACCUGCAGAAGAAGCGCCGGCUAACUACGUG
This 467-nucleotide ribosomal RNA is filed under the name uncultured bacterium. RNAcentral's name for it is "partial 16S ribosomal RNA". It matches the Rfam family "Bacterial small subunit ribosomal RNA", at positions 28 to 507 of the family's 1533-position model. The record is from RNAcentral.